This 1073-nucleotide ribosomal RNA is filed under the name Tuber sp. RNAcentral's name for it is "SSU rRNA". It matches the Rfam family "Eukaryotic small subunit ribosomal RNA", at positions 51 to 1132 of the family's 1831-position model. Lineage: Eukaryota; Fungi; Ascomycota; Pezizomycetes; Pezizales; Tuberaceae. The record is from RNAcentral.
CGGCUGGUCUAAGUAUAAGCAAUCUAUACAGUGAAACUGCGAAUGGCUCAUUAAAUCAGUUAUCGUUUAUUUGAAUAGUACCUUUGCUACUUGGAUAACCGUGGUAAUUCUAGAGCUAAUACAUGCUAAAAAUCCCGACCCCUGGAAGGGAUGUAUUUAUUAGAUAAAAAACCAAUGGCUUCGGCCUCCCUGGUGAUUCAUGAUAACUUAACGAAUCGCAUGGCCUUGUGCCGGCGAUGGUUCAUUCAAAUUUCUGCCCUAUCAACUUUCGAUGGUAGGAUAGUGGCCUACCAUGGUUUCAACGGGUAACGGGGAAUUAGGGUUCUAUUCCGGAGAGGGAGCCUGAGAAACGGCUACCACAUCCAAGGAAGGCAGCAGGCGCGCAAAUUACCCAAUCCCGACACGGGGAGGUAGUGACAAUAAAUACUGAUACAGGGCUCUUUUGGGUCUUGUAAUUGGAAUGAGUACAAUUUAAAUCCCUUAACGAGGAACAAUUGGAGGGCAAGUCUGGUGCCAGCAGCCGCGGUAAUUCCAGCUCCAAUAGCGUAUAUUAAAGUUGUUGCAGUUAAAAAGCUCGUAGUUGAACCUUGGGUCUGGCUGGCCGGUCCGCCUCACCGCGUGCACUGGUCCGGCCGGAUCUUUCCUUCUGGCUAGCCGCAUGCCCUUCAUUGGGUGUGUCGGGGAACCAGGACUUUUACUUUGAAAAAAUUAGAGUGUUCAAAGCAGGCAUAUGCUCGAAUACAUUAGCAUGGAAUAAUAGAAUAGGACGUGCGGUUCUAUUUUGUUGGUUUCUAGGACCGCCGUAAUGAUUAAUAGGGAUAGUCGGGGGCAUCAGUAUUCAAUUGUCAGAGGUGAAAUUCUUGGAUUUAUUGAAGACUAACUACUGCGAAAGCAUUUGCCAAGGAUGUUUUCAUUAAUCAGUGAACGAAAGUUAGGGGAUCGAAGACGAUCAGAUACCGUCGUAGUCUUAACCAUAAACUAUGCCGACUAGGGAUCGGGCGAUGUUCUUUUUUCUGACUCGCUCGGCACCUUACGAGAAAUCAAAGUCUUUGGGUCUGGGGGAGUAGCGCCGC